AACAGCCCCCACCCUCUCAUUCCUUCCAACGUCCUAUCUCUCUCACUCCUCUCAAGAAAAAAAUCAAGAAGUCCCCCCAUCUUCUACUUCUAAGGUUUUGGUUCUAGGGUUCAAUCAAGUUCUUGGAAUAAGAUUCAAUCUCAAAUCCAUCUCUCACCCAAUUGUUUGAAGCUCUCUCAAUCCAUGGUUUAAACCUAAAAGAGGAAUUCUUUGUGUAAAUAAUAUAUGUGCAUAUACAAUACUUGGGAUUUGGUGAUCAAGCGAAGGAUACAAGAGAUACAAGUUGAUGUUUAGUUGAAGUGCAAAGGAAGGUGAUGAAGUAUGAUAACUUAUAGGUGCAAUGUUUUGUGCAAGUUUGGGCUUCAUGGAAUCGUUUUGCAUAUAGAAAGGAAGUAGAAAGAAGACUUAUAUUUUUGGGCAUGUUUUGUACUUGUUUCCCUUAUGAUCAAGGAUGUAUAUAAUUUUUGCAAAGUGAUGUACGUAAGCUAUGUAAUUUAGGGAAGGCUAUGGAUAUUCAUGCUAAUGUAAUUAUGAUAUCAUGAAAGUUAUCAAUGUAUGGAUGCUCUAGACCAAAUGGGUUGUGCUCAUUUUGCUUAAACUUGUUUAUGGUUACUUUUAUCAAUAGACCUCAUAAAUUUAAGUGAA
Molecule: long non-coding RNA, 645 nt
Organism: Rhododendron vialii
Lineage: Eukaryota; Viridiplantae; Streptophyta; Magnoliopsida; Ericales; Ericaceae
Exons: 3
Source: RefSeq, a predicted model, not a curated record